Molecule: ribosomal RNA, 274 nt
Filed under: uncultured bacterium
Lineage: Bacteria
Description: partial 16S ribosomal RNA
Rfam family: Bacterial small subunit ribosomal RNA
Source: RNAcentral
CUACGGAGGGGGUUAGCGUUGUUCGGAAUUACUGGGCGUAAAGCGUACGUAGGCGGAUCGGAAAGUAAGGGUUGAAAUCCCAGGGCUCAACCCUGGAACUGCCUCUUAAACUCCCGGUCUUGAGUUCGAGAGAGGUGAGUGGAAUUCCUAGUGUAGAGGUGAAAUUCGUAGAUAUUAGGAGGAACACCAGUGGCGAAGGCGGCUCACUGGCUCGAUCCUGACGCUGAGGUACGAAAGUGUGGGGAGCAAACAGGAUUAGAUACCCUUGUAGUCC